RNAcentral lists this ribosomal RNA (484 nucleotides) under uncultured bacterium. Its description in RNAcentral is "partial 16S ribosomal RNA". It matches the Rfam family "Bacterial small subunit ribosomal RNA", at positions 30 to 507 of the family's 1533-position model. The record is from RNAcentral.
AUUGAACGCUGGCGGCAGGCCUAACACAUGCAAGUCGAGCGGAUGAAGGUAGCUUGCUCCUGGAUUCAGCGGCGGACGGGUGAGUAAUGCCUAGGAAUCUGCCUGGUAGUGGGGGAUAACGUCCGGAAACGGGCGCUAAUACCGCAUACGUCCUGAGGGAGAUAGUGGGGGAUCUUCGGACCUCUUGCUCUCAGAUGAGCCUAGGCCGGAUUAGCUAGUUGGUGGGGUAAAGGCCUACCAAGGCGGCGAUCCGCAACUGGUCGGAGAGGAUGAUCAGUCACACUGGAACUGAGACACGGUCCAGACUCCUACGGAAGGCAGCAGUGGGGAAUAUUGGACAAUGGGCGAAAGCCUGAUCCAGCCAUGCCGCGUGUGUGCAGAAGGUCUUCGGAUUGUAAAGCACUUUAAGUUGGGAGGAAGGGCAGUAAGUUAAGACCUUGCUGUUUUGACGUUACCAGCAGAAUAAGCACCGGCUAACUUCGUG